This 808-nucleotide ribosomal RNA is filed under the name Polypedates leucomystax (Java whipping frog). Its description in RNAcentral is "partial 16S ribosomal RNA". It matches the Rfam family "Bacterial large subunit ribosomal RNA", at positions 1513 to 2569 of the family's 2925-position model. Lineage: Eukaryota; Metazoa; Chordata; Amphibia; Anura; Rhacophoridae. The record is from RNAcentral.
AAUACCAUUAAUUUUCAUGAACCCCUAAUCUAUAAUGAAUGACUCCAUAUUUAUAUGGAAGACACCAUGCUAGGAUUAGUAACAAGAAUUUAUAAUUCUCCAAAAUGCAAAUAUAAACCAACAUGGAUGGACCAUUGGUAGUUACCGAACCUAAAUUCAAUGCAACAACACCUACAAGAAAACUCUGCAGUACUUACUCGUUAACCUAACACCAGCGCAUUACAGGAAAGAUUUAAAAAAAGAGAAGGAAUUCGGCAAAUGACGGCCCCGCCUGUUUACCAAAAACAUCGCCUCUUGACUUAUAAUAAGAGGUCCAGCCUGCCCAGUGAAUUUUAAACGGCCGCGGUAUCCUAACCGCGCGAAGGUAGCAUAAUCACUUGUUCUUUAAAUGGGGACUCGUAUCAACGGCAUCACGAGGGUUUUACUGUCUCCUCUUUUUGAUCAGUGAAAUUGAUCUUCCCGUGAAGAAGCGGGAAUAAAUUUAUAAGACGAGAAGACCCCAUGGAGCUUUAAACCAAAUAACAACUUAACCACUUAUCCCAUAAUAAAUUUAAGCCCUGUUAUAAGGUUUUUGGUUGGGGUGACCGCGGAGUAAAACACAUCCUCCACGACGAAAAAAACAGAAUUUUUAUUUAAGAACCACACUUCUAGAAAUUAGUAUACUAACGUUUACUGACCCGACAAUCGAUCAACGGACCAAGUUACCCUGGGGAUAACAGCGCAAUCUACUUCAAGAGCUCAUAUCGACAAGUAGGCUUACGACCUCGAUGUUGGAUCAGGGUAUCCCGGUGGUGCAGCCGCUACCGAA